Molecule: ribosomal RNA, 239 nt
Filed under: uncultured bacterium
Lineage: Bacteria
Description: partial 16S ribosomal RNA
Rfam family: Bacterial small subunit ribosomal RNA
Source: RNAcentral
UACGUAGGGGGCGAGCGUUGUCCGGAAUCAUUGGGCGUAAAGCGCGUGUAGGCGGCUUGGUAAGUCUGCUCUGAAAGUCCAGGGCUCAACCCUGGGAGGCCGGCGGAUACUGUCGAGCUAGAGUCCGGAAGAGGCGGGUGGAAUUCCCGGUGUAGCGGUGAAAUGCGCAGAUAUCGGGAGGAACACCUAUGGCGAAGGCAGCCCGCUGGGACGGAACUGACGCUGAGGCGCGAAAGCGU